AUACGUAGGGUGCGAGCGUUGUCCGGAAUUACUGGGCGUAAAGAGCUCGUAGGUGGUUUGUCGCGUCGUCUGUGAAAUUCCGGGGCUUAACUCCGGGCGUGCAGGCGAUACGGGCAUAACUUGAGUACUGUAGGGGAGACUGGAAUUCCUGGUGUAGCGGUGAAAUGCGCAGAUAUCAGGAGGAACACCGGGGGCGAAGGCGGGUUUCUGGGCAGUAACUGACGCUGAGGUGCGAAAGCAUGGGUAGCGAACAGGAUUAGAUACCCUGGUAGUCCAUGCCGUAAACGGUGGGCGCUAGGUGUAGGGGUCUUCCACGACUUCUGUGCCGUAGCUAACGCAUUAAGCGCCCCGCCUGGGGAGUACGGCCGCAAGGCUAAAACUCAAAGGAAUUGACGGGG
Molecule: ribosomal RNA, 398 nt
Filed under: uncultured bacterium
Lineage: Bacteria
Description: partial 16S ribosomal RNA
Rfam family: Bacterial small subunit ribosomal RNA
Source: RNAcentral